UUGGAAAGAAUGACAGAAUUUAAUUUUAAGAACAAUUAGAAGCAGGGAUACCUCUGCAAAAUGUCACGUUAGUUUUGGACAGUACGUCAGGUUUACAGUUGUCAGUAACAUAAAUGUUUUAAAAUUAAGGAAGGAAAAAGUAAAGGUCAUGGGGAAUCUCAUCUAGAGUGAAGUCUCUACACAUUAAUAAAAUAUUUAUGUAUUCUCAUUUAACAUAUAGCUUAAGGACAACUCAGUGGAAGUAAUUCUUUAUUCUUGUGUCUGAAUAUGAGUGACGGCAGUUUUUCUAAAAUGUCAGAUUAAAAACUCAUUGCUGCAUUUUGAAAUUCAAAUGAUCAUUAGCAACUCCAUUCUAUUCUUAGCAAUUGUGGAUCAUUCUGAUGAAAUAUACUGCUCUGAUGCAAAAAAAGAAAAUUAAAUAAAAAGAAUGUCACAGUUUGGAACAGGUUAAAAUUACAAGCUACAGAACACACAAAAAUCCUCAGGAGAAAUAUCUAGUGAAAUAAGAUGGAUAUUUAUGGCUUUGCUCAAACAAAAUUGCUUAGGUUAGUAUUACAAAUGUACAGGCAAAAACCAGUUGGAAUUUCCUGUGUUUCACCCAUAUCCCUCUUAAUCAACUCAUUAUCUUGUCUUUCAAACAGGAGAUCCUCCCUAGGCCAGCUGUAUACAGCCAAAUCUAUCUGGUUAUGCUUUAGAAAAGUAAAAUCUCUAGAGAAAGGGCUGUGUUCAAGCAGAUGUACUGUAUUAGUAAUCUGAGCUCUCAGCAUCAUUGUGCACUGGUUACACAUAGCUAGGCAACCUUAAAAUACACAAAAAAACAACGGAAAGUGACACCAAUAGUGGGCUAAAACUAGCCUGUGUUGCUUUUAUGAUGAAACCUGCUGGACAGCCUUUACUUUCUUUCUCUUGAUACUUUUAAAAAACAAAACAAAAGCAAAAACUACCAAAAUUGAUCAGUUGUUAGACAGCACCCCCUGGUGUAGCAACACACGAAAACCUUACAAACUUUAUAAAAAUACCUUUAUUUGUGAUGGGGUGCAGCUAACCAACAGGUAUUACCAUAUAGAUUACCCGAGAUGUGGAUUAACUUGCUGGGUCUUUCCUCAACACUCCAGCUGCAGCUCUGUGCCAAAAAGCACAUGAUGCAGAGCAAAUGCCUUUCACAUGAGGCUUCACGCUUCUGAGAGCUGUGUUCAGCUGUCUCUACAGAAACCCUUUACAAAUCUGUUUAAAGGUCACUAUAAAAAUUAUGUUCCCCCAUAUCCUGAUUUAUUUUUGUUUUAUACUACCUAUCUUCAUGUUUUUCUUGGCAUGACCCCUUCCUCUCCAACUGAGAGUUGCCUACAUGAUGCCUGACAUCAGAUGAACAUUCCUGCUUCUCGUGUUAUCAUCUAAACAGGACACAAAUACAAAUCCUCAUUGGACUCUGAAUAAAGAAAUCUGGCCCUGACUCACAGCAACUCUACAUCAGCAGCAGGGGCAUAGGAGAAACCUGCUAUGCCCGUACUGCUUCAUGCAGUGACUUCCCAGAAUUUUUAAUGGAAAAGCAGCAAAAUUUCCUCACUCUGUUUACUCCUACUGGGAAUUUAUUCCUGUUCUUAUCAAAUCUUCUGAAAUCAGAGUUGUGGAAUAACACUACCUUUCCCAAGCACAAUGUAUGCAAUACUUACUGCUGUGCAGAAAAUGGCUUAAUCACCUCCUUGUACAAAGUUUUGAGCAGUACAGCAUAGCCACAGCUACACUAGCUUUUACUAAGUUUUGCUGCAAUAGAAAAGCUGUAAGUGGAUCCUAAAGUAGGAUAGUUUGUGUAAGAUAUUCUUCUUUAUAUCCAGAACAGUUCUCUAGUAUCUAGGAAAUGUUUUGCACCCC
This 1869-nucleotide long non-coding RNA is filed under the name Strigops habroptila (Kakapo). RNAcentral describes it as "lncRNA (ENSSHBG00005013917.1)". Lineage: Eukaryota; Metazoa; Chordata; Aves; Psittaciformes; Psittacidae. The record is from RNAcentral.